Non-coding RNA from Toxocara canis (dog roundworm), 84 nucleotides. NCBI's taxonomy places the organism in Eukaryota, Metazoa, Nematoda, Chromadorea, Rhabditida, Toxocaridae. The record is from Rfam.
UUCCGUCUGGCCGAGCGACCUAACGCGCUGCGUUCAGGUCGCAGCCUACUUCGGUAGGCGCAGGUUCGAAUCCUGCGGCGGACA